Molecule: long non-coding RNA, 4511 nt
Filed under: Triticum aestivum (bread wheat)
Lineage: Eukaryota; Viridiplantae; Streptophyta; Magnoliopsida; Poales; Poaceae
Description: long non-coding RNA (TAES_LNC007587)
Source: RNAcentral
UCCUAAGCUAUAAACGUGUAAGAUUAUGAAGUUGUCCUAUCAGUUCGUUUUUAGAUAUCAGCAAGAAGUUUUGUGGGUAAGAAAGUUUUCAGUAAGCUGAAGAGUCUUGUGCUUAGAAAGCUUAUCUUCUGCAAGCGAGAAAGAAGAACCAGAACACCACGGCUGCACCAGAGAUCGAGGUAAUCCUGCCAUCGAGAGGACAUGGAAAGGGGGGCGUCGCUGAACCUGUGCAGAUGGGUUGAAGUUGUGCUGGCGAGACGGCAUGUUGCAUAGCUGCCAAGCUAAUGACCGAGACGCUUGAUCCAUACUCGGCCAGGAAGAAAGAGCAGCUUCUAUUUGUGCUUCCACCUUCCCACGGUGGUACUGGUGUUCCAUACGGCGAGCGGCAGCUUUGCUAGCUCCUGCACUAUUCAUGCUUCCAUAUCAAGAGUUGGCUGCAGGUCUGGUCAUCCAGAUCAGGGGCCAGCAGCAUUUGAUUCCCGUGGUAAAAAGAGGCGCCCGCUCCUAAUGCAUACCUGCUGCGGCUGCAAGGAAAGGGGAAAAUUGGGAGAUGAGUAGGAAAGAGGCAGGGGGAGAAAGCCAUCAACCUUAUUAGCGGGGGAACGCACCAGCGACCGAAGGCGGCGCGGUUCAUCUCGACGACGGCGGCACACCCGCGCUCGCGCGGGAGGAUGACCACACUGCGGAGGAGUCGCACAGGGCAGGGAGAGCCCGUGACCGGCGAGCGACCUAGGAUAGAACCCCAUGCACUCCAUGGAGAAAUCGGCGGCGCUGGAUCGGACAUCAACAGGGCAGAGCUCACGCUGUAUUCAAUGGGAGGGGCGUCGGGAGAGAAGGAGCCGGGAUUAUGGCGCAGCCGAGAUGGAAGACACACAUGGAGUGGGGCGUUUUUAUAGAGCCAAACAGCGGCCAAGCGGUGGAACGGGCUUUACGGGAUCCUUCGAGAGACCAGGCGAAAUAUCUCGAGAGAGAGUCAAAGAGGACAGGUGGUGGAGAGAGACCGAAGCCAAUCCACGCGUCGUACGCUUCCUACUCCUGAGAUUUCUACUCCAGACAAGUUUGACUGGUAGAUGGUCAAAGCGGUGGGGGUAGAACGUGGCAAACCAAGGGAAUGGAACACCCUGUCACACGCAUCAAUUCUAUAGCAGCAGUAAAAAGUUCAAAAAAACCAGAAAAAUCGAACCCUUACAGGCCUAGUAUUCUUAGUAUAUUUGAUACAGCCAUCACAUCUCAUACAUCAUCGCAUCUCAUACAGGCAUCACAUCUCAUACAACCAUCGCAUGAACAGUUUACUCCUAAUGCGAUUGCUUUCACAGAAAAGUAUGAGGCCCAACCCACAUGAGAAAGCCAAUGCACGUGACUGCACUUUAACCUGUUACAGUGAAAGAGUAGAUGCAAUUUUAGAUGGCUUUCACAUAACUGGAGAAAAGAUUCAGAAGUAGGCAAGCAUGCUAACCAUCAAUAAGAGAAAACUGAUUUCUAACUUCUAAGAGUAUAUAACCAGGAGAUCCAAAUACCUAUUCUCUCAAAGCACCACUUCUUCCCAUAGGCAUCACACUGUAUCAAUGUUAUGACAAAAGGGCAGUUUCAACACCCUACAGAAGAGAUGGUGCAGACACUAACGGUUAAACGCUUACAGAGGUUUAUGCACAAGGAGAAAACUGUGUAUAUUGUGAUGAAACUGCAAGUAAACUACCAAGUCAAACAAAAUCGUGUGUAUGCGCCUCAGGACAUCCAAAAUUGUAUGCGCUUCAGGACAUCCAAAAUCGUGUGCUUCUGUUUGCAGGCAUAGUGAGCGCAGAAGAAUACAAGUCUGUUCAAAGCAACAGAAUGUAUUAGUUACUUGACAAGCCAGAUGAGUUUCUGUAGUUACCUAUUUUUGUUCUAUCAAUUCGUAAGAUAAUGCAUCAUCUCAAUCUGAUAGGUGUAAAUGAUCAUGUAAUCUAAUAACAGUAUCGAUGUUUGGCUUUGUUUGGCGACUGGAAUUUUCUAUUGCGGAAAGUUACUGAUCAUGGUACAUUAGAAUCGCCAAACUGAACAGGUGGAUUCAGUACAUUAUUGAAUAUACAUCAGUUCCUUCUGCGCUUUUACAAAUGUAGUUUUGGAAAAUCACACACAAACUAUUCAGUUUCUUACUCCUCAUCAACCGAAUGCAGCUCUGUAAGCUAACCGGAUCAGCUAUUGUUUUCUUUAAGUUCAUUUUUUAGCGCCAAUGGAGCAUGACGUUUGAAGAUAUGGAGGCGCCAAAUCUGUGCCGACCCCCUAUUGGUGAUGCCUCUAAUGGAGCCCCUCUUGGUGACAUCUCUAAUGUUGAUCAUCAUUCCCGAAUGACUCCAGUGCCAAUGCCAGGUAAUUGCGAGCAUAACUUCUUACUAUUUAUCACAAUGAGCAUACAUAUAGUUGAUGAGGUUUUUCUACUGUUAUUAAAUGGCUGUAACAUUUGUAGCCUCACACGACCUUACCCCUUAUGGAUCUCACUGCCAAAGGGUAAAUCUUGCUAGCAAUACCAACAUAGCAAGGAAAAAGAAACGAUCAAUGCGAAAAAUGCCAAUUGAUGCCAUCUUAGCGGCAUCUCCACUAUCAAUCAACUCCCCAAAUGGAGUACAGGUAUAAAAAUUGCACGACACAACCAAAAGGGCAAUUCUUAAUGUCUAAUGUCUGGAGGUACUCUUCAUUGGUUUUAAUUGUCUUUCUACUCAUUUCAGUAAAAUUGUUCCACAGGAACUAUCGCAGACUGCGACAUCUGACCUUAACAUGCCAGAUACGGUUCAUGAUGAUGGAGAACAUAACAGGAACUCAUCAAUAGAAAAAGGGGCAUUCUAAACAGAAAAAGGAGAAAAAAGAAAAGGAAAGCACAUCACUCCCAGCCUAACGGUCAAACGUGUUUAUGAACAUGAUGCAUUGAGGGGACAGUUAAAAGUCACAAAAGGUAAAUGUGUCCCCAGUUUUGAAUGAUUACAUACUUGCUAAAUUACUUCUUCUUAAAGUUGUUACUGCUGCUGCUGAUGGAUCCACUUAAUGAAUUAGACUAACUAUUUGUUUUGGAUUGUACAUGAGCUAUCAUUCUGGUACAUCUACUAAUAUUUUUUUGGUACCUUUGUUUGUAUGUGAACGUUCUAUACAUGCCAUAUACUAUGAAAGAACAGUAUGUACAUGCCGUAUACUUUUGUUUGUGUCAGACUUUCAUGUCUUAGUCUGAUCCUAUCACUCUCCCUAUAUGUCGUUCAAAGACAUCCAUAUGAACCUAUAUGUCGUGGAAGUGCAUACGUACUUCUCAGUUCUUAUAGAGAACGGAAACUGGGUGGCAUGUGUUAUCAGAAGUUGUGUAUAAUCAUUUAUGGAAAUAUCAAAAAUUAAAAAUCCCAUGAAUUUGGAAUAGGGAAAUUCAAGUAGGUAGGAAGUACUGACAUACCAAGGAAUAAUAAAGAAUAGCACCACUGCAGCUACAAAAUCACAAUCAUUUGUUCAAGGAUCUGAACUCAAUUCACCCUGAAAAACAAUUAGUCAUCUUAAGUCAGACUGCAUGAUAGUCGGAUGGGAUCGAAAGCAAUUGACUGUCAAGGAAUGUACCCGUCUGCACCUGCCUGCACCCGACACAACCAUCGCCUUCACCACUGCUGCAUCGCCUCCGAACUCCUUGGUGAAGAUACUGAAGCUAAUAGGAGAACUAAUGAGUAAGCCAAAUGCAAAAUCGAAGAGAGAUUAUCUCUACAAAGCAGAUGAUAUGGGAAAACAGGACCAACUGCAAGGAGAGGAAAAAUCACAAAUAGCAGUUAAAAGCGUCUACAAAUUAACAGCUAGGUACUAUGGUGCCCCUAAUUAACUAAUAAUAGGAAGAUGUAUAAGUAUUGAUCAUUCAUUCGUUCCUAAUCAAAAGAAUCUGUGUGAAAGUUUUUGAGCCAUGACUUAAAUUUGUUCUGAAGAACAUGAUAGUAGAGAUUCAUGCAUUUUCAAAGGACAUGAUAAACAUAACAUGGAGAGAGAUUAUCCUAUACCUAAAUCAGAGGCCCAUAGUCUGAAGAAAUUCUCCUACACCUACCCGUCAAAAAAAUAUAUUCUCCUACACCUAAAUCAGAGACCGUAGUCCUGAACAAAUUGUCCGACACCUUGUAUUUCAGUACAGUUGCAAACUGGGUGUUUUGAUGUGAGAUUCACUCAGAGUGAACAAUUGAUAUUAAGUGAUCUGGUUUACUACUAAAUAGUUGGAUCAAUGCUCAAAUCUGAAGUUUGCUACGGGUGUAAAACAGAGAACAACCAUGGAUACUUAAUUCACUCCUUGCGGCCGUCCGUACGGGCGUCGUGGCGCAGACCUCCUGAGGAUGGCCUCCUGCUAGCCUUGCUGAUGCAGGCCUCUCCCUGUGCAUCUCACCACAUCAGAAUUGAUUGGCGCACUUGCUCCUGUCCAAAUUACACCAGUCGCUGCCGCAACCCACAAGCGCACGGCGAUGAGAAUUGAAACGAAGCAAACAAGCAGAGUGGGAGAAGGACCGGGCGUACACGGAGGCGGGGCC